AAAUUUAUAUUGAAAAUCUUUAUCUUCUGUCGUAGCAAAAUUCGUCCCUUAUCAUUUAACUUAUGAUUUUCAUCGAAGUUUCGUACUUACUAUUGUUUAAUGAGGAUAACGAUAAGUUCUACGAUUAGAACUUAUCGGGUUAUGCUUGAAUCCAAUGGGAUGGAAUUCAAGUGUUUUUUAUCUUCUCAUAAUAUGGCAUAUAGAUAGGGG
RNAcentral lists this long non-coding RNA (210 nucleotides) under Musa acuminata (dwarf banana). Its description in RNAcentral is "long non-coding RNA (MACU_LNC008026)". The record is from RNAcentral. Lineage: Eukaryota; Viridiplantae; Streptophyta; Magnoliopsida; Zingiberales; Musaceae.